CCUACGGGUGGCAGCAGUGGGGAAUAUUGCGCAAUGGGGGAAACCCUGACGCAGCAACGCCGCGUGGGUGAGGGAGUGUCUCGGUGUGUAAAGCUCUAUCGGCGGGGAAGAAGGAAGACGGUACCCGACUAAGAAGCCCCGGCUAACUACGUGCCAGCAGCCGCGGUAAUACGUAGGGGGCGAGCGUUAUCCGGAUUUACUGGGUGUAAAGGGAGCGUAGACGGCGGCGCAAGUCAGGAGUGAAAGCCCGUGGCUCAACCGCGGAACCGCUUUGGGAACUGCGAGGCUGGAGUGCAGGAGGGGUAAGCGGAAUUCCUGGUGUAGCGGUGAAAUGCGUAGAUAUCAGGAGGAACACCGGUGGCGAAGGCGGCUUGCUGGACAGCGACUGACGUUGAGGCCCGAAAGCGUGGGGAGCGAACAGGAUUAGAUACCCCUGUAGUC
Molecule: ribosomal RNA, 441 nt
Filed under: uncultured bacterium
Lineage: Bacteria
Description: partial 16S ribosomal RNA
Rfam family: Bacterial small subunit ribosomal RNA
Source: RNAcentral